GUUAAAGUGGCAGAGACCGGUAAUUGCGUAAAACUUAAACCUUUAUUUUCAGAGGUUCAAGUCCUCUCUUUAACA
This 75-nucleotide transfer RNA is filed under the name Artibeus lituratus (great fruit-eating bat). RNAcentral describes it as "tRNA-Leu". It matches the Rfam family "tRNA". From Rfam's summary of the family: Transfer RNA (tRNA) molecules are approximately 80 nucleotides in length. Lineage: Eukaryota; Metazoa; Chordata; Mammalia; Chiroptera; Phyllostomidae. The record is from RNAcentral.